AUUGAACGCUGGCGGAAUGCUUUACACAUGCAAGUCGAACGGCAGCACGGACUUCGGUCUGGUGGCGAGUGGCGAACGGGUGAGUAAUGUAUCGGAACGUGCCCAGUCGCGGGGGAUAACGUAGUGAAAAUUACGCUAAUACCGCAUACGAUCUAUGGAUGAAAGCGGGGGAUCGCAAGACCUCGCGCGAUUGGAGCGGCCGAUAUCAGAUUAGGUAGUUGGUGGGGUAAAGGCCCACCAAGCCAACGAUCUGUAGCUGGUCUGAGAGGACGACCAGCCACACUGGAACUGAGGCACGGUCGUGACUCUUAAGGGAGGGAGCAGUGGCGAAUUCUAGACUAUGGACGAAAGCCGGAUCCUGCCAUGUCGAGAGCAGGAUGAUGGACCUCGGGUUGGAAACUGCUUUUGUACAGAACGUAAAGGAUUCCGCUAAUAAAGGGAGCUCAUGACGGUACUGUAAGAAUAAGCACCGGCUAACUACGUGCCAGCCGCCGCAGUAA
Molecule: ribosomal RNA, 500 nt
Filed under: uncultured bacterium
Lineage: Bacteria
Description: partial 16S ribosomal RNA
Rfam family: Bacterial small subunit ribosomal RNA
Source: RNAcentral